ACGAACGCUGGCGGCGUGCUUAACCCCUGCAAGUCGCACGGAAAGGCCCUGCUUUUGUGGGGUGCUCGAGUGGCGAACGGGUGAGUAACACGUGAGUAACCUGCCCUUGACUUUGGGAUAACUUCAGGAAACUGGGGCUAAUACCGGAUAGGAGCUCCUGCUGCAUGGUGGGGGUUGGAAAGUUUCGGCGGUUGGGGAUGGACUCGCGGCGUAUCAGCUUGUUGGUGGGGUAGUGGCUUACCAAGGCUUUGACGGGUAGCCGGCCUGAGAGGGUGACCGGCCACAUUGGGACUGAGAUACGGACCAGACUCCUACGGGAGGCAGCAGUGGGGAAUAUUGCACAAUGGGCGGAAGCCUGAUGCAGCAACGCCGCGUGCGGGAUGACGGCCUUCGGGUUGUAAACCGCUUUCGCCUGUGACGAAGCGUGAGUGACGGUAAUGGGUAAAGAAGCACCGGCUAACUACGUG
Molecule: ribosomal RNA, 467 nt
Filed under: uncultured bacterium
Lineage: Bacteria
Description: partial 16S ribosomal RNA
Rfam family: Bacterial small subunit ribosomal RNA
Source: RNAcentral